GUGCUCGCUUCGGCAGCACAUAUACUAAAAUUGGAAUGAUACAGAGAAGGUUAGCAUGGACCCUGCCCAAGGAUGACACACAAAUUCGUGAAGAGUUCCAUAUUAAA
This 107-nucleotide small nuclear RNA is filed under the name Dasypus novemcinctus (nine-banded armadillo). The record is from RNAcentral. Lineage: Eukaryota; Metazoa; Chordata; Mammalia; Cingulata; Dasypodidae.